UAGAGGUAGCUUAUGUGGGUACUACCUUGGGCCCAUGUAGGCAGCCUAUAUGAGACUGAUUGUGUUUGCCCAUGUUUUACCCAUAUGGUUUGACCAAGAGGGCCCCAUAUGUGUUUCCCCAUUUAGAACCCAUAUAGAGGUAGCUUAUGUGGGUACUACCUUGGGCCCAUGCAGGCAGCCUAUAUGGGACUGAUUGUGUUUGCCCAUGUUUUACCCAUAUGGUUUGACCAAGAGGGCCCCAUAUGUGUUUCCCCAUUUAGAACCCAUAUAGAGGUAGCUUAUGUGGGUACUACCUUGGGCCCAUGUAGGCAGCCUAUAUGAGACUGAUUGUGUUUGCCCAUGUUUUACCCAUAUGGUUUGACCAAGAGGGCCCCAUAUGUGUUUCCCCAUUUAGAACCCAUAUAGAGGUAGCUUAUGUGGGUACUACCUUGGGCCAGUGUAGGCAGCCUAUAUGGGAUUAAUUGUGUUUGCCCAUGUCUAACCCAUUUGUUAAACCCAUAUGGGCCCCAUUUGUGUUGCCCAUUUCGAGCCCAAGCACUCAUUUCCCAUUUGUGACCCAACUAGGUCCCACAUAGGGAGCCCAUCUGUUUUUGCCCAU
Labeo rohita (rohu) is the source of this 598-nucleotide long non-coding RNA. RefSeq lists it as uncharacterized. The transcript has 4 exons. Lineage: Eukaryota; Metazoa; Chordata; Actinopteri; Cypriniformes; Cyprinidae. The record is from RefSeq and is a predicted model, not a curated record.